CAUUUUCUUGGAUCAUCACUGAUUUCCUGAGGGACAAUGUUGAGAAGCAAAAUGUGGUGAUGAAGUUCUGUAAGACUGAGGACCAGCUGACUGAUAUCUUUACAAAGUCAUUGAGUAAAGAAUGUUUCAUUAAAAGCAAGAUGAGGCUGGGGAUGCACAAGAUUACUUGAUUCCGUGACAAGUUUGCACAAAAAUCUUCUAUUUUGAUUAUGUUACGGAGGGCAGGUAUCUAUACUUGUUUUAAUGCUUGUCACUUAAGAAUUCACUUCUGGUACCUUAAUGUAGGUAUACACUCAUGGUGUGUCUAGCUGAAG
This 314-nucleotide long non-coding RNA is filed under the name Solanum tuberosum (potato). RNAcentral describes it as "long non-coding RNA (STUB_LNC010036)". The record is from RNAcentral. Lineage: Eukaryota; Viridiplantae; Streptophyta; Magnoliopsida; Solanales; Solanaceae.